This 530-nucleotide ribosomal RNA is filed under the name Brevundimonas vesicularis. Its description in RNAcentral is "bacterial SSU rRNA". It matches the Rfam family "Bacterial small subunit ribosomal RNA", at positions 109 to 674 of the family's 1533-position model. Lineage: Bacteria; Pseudomonadati; Pseudomonadota; Alphaproteobacteria; Caulobacterales; Caulobacteraceae. The record is from RNAcentral.
AGUAACACGUGGGAACGUGCCUUUAGGUUCGGAAUAACUCAGGGAAACUUGUGCUAAUACCGAAUGUGCCCUUCGGGGGAAAGAUUUAUCGCCUUUAGAGCGGCCCGCGUCUGAUUAGCUAGUUGGUGAGGUAAAGGCUCACCAAGGCGACGAUCAGUAGCUGGUCUGAGAGGAUGAUCAGCCACAUUGGGACUGAGACACGGCCCAAACUCCUACGGGAGGCAGCAGUGGGGAAUCUUGCGCAAUGGGCGAAAGCCUGACGCAGCCAUGCCGCGUGAAUGAUGAAGGUCUUAGGAUUGUAAAAUUCUUUCACCGGGGACGAUAAUGACGGUACCCGGAGAAGAAGCCCCGGCUAACUUCGUGCCAGCAGCCGCGGUAAUACGAAGGGGGCUAGCGUUGCUCGGAAUUACUGGGCGUAAAGGGAGCGUAGGCGGACAUUUAAGUCAGGGGUGAAAUCCCGGGGCUCAACCUCGGAAUUGCCUUUGAUACUGGGUGUCUUGAGUAUGAGAGAGGUGUGUGGAACUCCGAGU